UGGGGCUUCACCAUGUUGGACAGGCUGGUCUCGAACUCCUGACCUCAGGUGCUUGAUUUCACCACCAUAGACUUGACAUCUGAGACUGAUGAGAUUCCAGAUAUUAUAGCUUUGGAAGAGGAGAACGGAUCAAAUCAUUCACAUGCUAAUGACCCUGUCCUCUCAGGGCAAAAUGUUGAAUAACUAACAAUAAUAAAAUACCCCUUUAGGUUGAAUACGCAAUUUGCAUUACAUUAAACUUCCUGUUUUUAUUCCCGUGACUUUGAAGAGUGUUAAUCUAGUUUUUUGGCUAUAUUGGUCUUAAUUGCAAUGACACUCUCAUCUAAACUUUUGUAAGAGAUCCUAGUUCUGUGUCAUAUAUCAUUUAAUAUAAUUAUUUAAAGUAUAAUUGCUGAAAUACUUACAAUAAAAAUUGGGCUGUAUAAUCUUGA
Non-coding RNA from Chlorocebus sabaeus (green monkey), 431 nucleotides. NCBI's taxonomy places the organism in Eukaryota, Metazoa, Chordata, Mammalia, Primates, Cercopithecidae. The record is from RefSeq and is a predicted model, not a curated record.